AUACUUACCUGGCAGGAGAGAUACCAUGAUCAUAAAGGUGGUAUUCCCAGGCAAGGCUUAUCCAUUGUACUUCGGAUGUGCUGACCCCUGCAGUUUCUCCAAAUGUGAGAAACAUGACUGUAUAAUUUGUGGUAGUGGGGACUAUGCUCACGGUUUCCCCU
This is a small nuclear RNA of Suricata suricatta (meerkat), 161 nucleotides long. Its record names the gene U1. It matches the Rfam family "U1 spliceosomal RNA". Rfam says of the family: U1 is a small nuclear RNA (snRNA) component of the spliceosome (involved in pre-mRNA splicing). Lineage: Eukaryota; Metazoa; Chordata; Mammalia; Carnivora; Herpestidae. The record is from Ensembl.